CACUUUCACAUCACUUACGUUACCAGAAG
Molecule: non-coding RNA, 29 nt
Filed under: Mus musculus (house mouse)
Lineage: Eukaryota; Metazoa; Chordata; Mammalia; Rodentia; Muridae
Source: RNAcentral